GAUGAAGAACGUAGUGAAAUGCGAUAAGUAAUGCGAAUUGCAGAAUUCAGUGAAUCAUCGAAUCUUUGAACGCACAUUGCGCCCCCUGGUAUUCCGGGGGGCAUGCCUGUUCGAGCGUCAUUUCACCACUCAAGCCUCGCUUGGUAUUGGGCAUCGCGGUCCGCCGCGCGCCUCAAAUCGACCGGCUGGGUCUUCUGUCCCCUAAGCGUUGUGGAAACUAUUCGCUAAAGGGUGUUCGGGAGGCUACGCCGUAAAACAACCCCAUUUCUAAGGUUGACCUCGGAUCAGGUAGGGAUACCCGCUGAACUUAAGCAUAUCAAUAAGCGGAGGA
RNAcentral lists this unclassified non-coding RNA (331 nucleotides) under soil metagenome. Its description in RNAcentral is "partial contains 5.8S ribosomal RNA, internal transcribed spacer 2, and large subunit ribosomal RNA". The stretch from base 1 to 120 matches the Rfam family "5.8S ribosomal RNA", at positions 35 to 154 of the family's 154-position model. The record is from RNAcentral.